This 1215-nucleotide ribosomal RNA is filed under the name Saccharomyces cerevisiae (brewer's yeast). The record is from RNAcentral. Lineage: Eukaryota; Fungi; Ascomycota; Saccharomycetes; Saccharomycetales; Saccharomycetaceae.
AUGAAAUUAAAAUUAUUAAAUAUAAUUUUAUCAAUAAUAAAUAAACUUAAUAAUAAUAAUAAUAUUAUUAUUAAUAAUCUAUUAGAUUCAUUAAUAAAUAAGAAAUUAUUAUUAAAGAAUAUAUUAUUAGAUAUAAAUAAUAAAAAAAUAAAUAAUAUAAAAAGAAUAUUAAAUAAUAAUAAUAUAAAUAUUAAUAAUAAAUUACAACAUUUAAAUAAUAUAAAUAAUUGAAAUCUACAAAUUUAUAAUUAUAAUAAAAAUAUAGAAAUUAUAAAUACUAUAAAUGAUAAAUUAAUUAAUAAAUUAUUAUAUAAAAUAAUAACUUUAAAAUUAAAUAAUAUAAACCCCGCGGGACCAAUCCGGUGAACAACCGGAUUGGCGCCCGCGGGGAAUAUUAAUAAAAUUAUUAUAAGUAAACUUAUUAAUCAACAUAGUUUAAAUAAAUUAAAUAUUAAAUUUUAUUAUUAUAAUAAUGAUAUUAAUAAUAAUAAUAAUAAUAAUAAUAAUAAUUAUUAUAUAAAUAUAAUAAAUAAAUUAAUAAAUAUUAUAAAUAAUAAUAUAAAUAAUAAUUUAUGUAAUAUUUUAAGUUAUUAUUAUAAUAAAAAAGUAACUAUUGAACCUAUUAAAUUAUCAUAUAUUUAUUUAAAUAGUGAUAUUUUUAGUAAAUAUAUUAGUUUAAAUGAUAUAGAUAAAUAUAAUAAUGGUAUCUUAACUAAUUAUCAACGUAUAUUAAAUAAUAUUAUGCCUAAAUUAAAUGAUCAUAAUAUUUCUAUAAAUUAUAUUAAUAAUAUUAAUAAUAUUAAUAAUAAUAAAUAUAAUAAUAUAAUUAAUUUAUUAAAUAAUAAUAAUAAUAAUAAUAAUAAUAAUAAUAUUAAUAAUAAUAAUAAUUAUAAUAAUAAUAAUAAUAAUUAUAUUGGUAAUAUUAAUAAUAUUUAUAAUAAUAUAACUAUUGAUAAUAUUCCUAUAGAUAUUUUAAUAUAUAAAUAUUUAGUUGGUUGAUCUAUUAAAUUUAAAGGUAGAUUAAGUAAUAAUAAUGGUAGAACUAGUACACUUAAUUUAUUAAAUGGUACUUUUAAUAAUAAAAAAUAUUUAUGAAGUAAUAUUAAUAAUAAUUAUAAAUUAAAUUAUAUCCCUUCUAAUCAUAAUUUAUAUAAUAAUUCUAAUAUUAAUAAAAAUGGUAAAUAUAAUAUUAAAGUUAAAUUAAACUUUAUUUAA